AGAUUGAACGCUGGCGGCAUGCCUAACACAUGCAAGUCGAGCGGCAGCGCGGGGGCGGACCCUCGGCGGCGAGCGGCGGGACGGGGUGGAGUAAGGCAUCGGAAGUACUGCCCUCGAUGUGGGGGAGUAACGUAGGGAAACGUUAACGCUAAUAACCGCAUACGACCGAGAGGUGAAAGACGGGGGACCGGAAAGGACCGUCGCGCAGCAGGAGUGAGCCGAUGUCCGAUUAGCUGGUUGGU
Molecule: ribosomal RNA, 242 nt
Filed under: uncultured prokaryote
Description: partial 16S ribosomal RNA
Rfam family: Bacterial small subunit ribosomal RNA
Source: RNAcentral